UACGAAGGAGGCUAGCGUUGCUCGGAAUCACUGGGCGUAAAGGGCGCGUAGGCGGCGUUUUAAGUCGGGGGUGAAAGCCUGUGGCUCAACCACAGAAUGGCCCUUCGAUACUGGGACGCUUGAGUAUGGUAGAGGUUGGUGGAACUGCGAGUGUAGAGGUGAAAUUCGUAGAUAUUCGCAAGAACACCGGUGGCGAAGGCGGCCAACUGGACCAUUACUGACGCUGAGGCGCGAAAGCGUGGGGAGCAAACAGG
Molecule: ribosomal RNA, 254 nt
Filed under: uncultured bacterium
Lineage: Bacteria
Description: partial 16S ribosomal RNA
Rfam family: Bacterial small subunit ribosomal RNA
Source: RNAcentral